GCGAAACUGCGAAUGGCUCAUUAUAUAAGUUAUCGUUUAUUUGAUAGUACCUUACUACUUGGAUAACCGUGGUAAUUCUAGAGCUAAUACAUGCUAAAAAUCCCGACUUCGGAAGGGAUGUAUUUAUUAGAUUAAAAACCAAUGCCCUCUGGGCUCUCUGGUGAUUCAUGAUAACUUCGCGAAUCGCAUGGCCUUGCGCCGGCGAUGGCUCAUUCAAAUUUCUUCCCUAUCAACUUUCGAUGUUUGGGUAUUGGCCAAACAUGGUUGCAACGGGUAACGGAGGGUUAGGGCUCGACCCCGGAGAAGGAGCCUGAGAAACGGCUACUACAUCCAAGGAAGGCAGCAGGCGCGCAAAUUACCCAAUCCCGACACGGGGAGGUAGUGACAAUAAAUACUGAUACAGGGCUCUUUUGGGUCUUGUAAUUGGAAUGAGUACAAUUUAAAUCCCUUAACGAGGAACAAUUGGAGGGCAAGUCUGGUGCCAGCAGCCGCGGUAAUUCCAGCUCCAAUAGCGUAUAUUAAAGUUGUUGUGGUUAAAAAGCUCGUAGUUGAACCUUGGGCCUGGCUGGCCGGUCCGCCUCACCGCGUGUACUGGUCCGGCCGGGCCUUUCCCUCUGUGGAACCUCAUGCCCUUCACUGGGUGUGGCGGGGAAACAGGACUUUUACUUUGAAAAAAUUAGAGUGCUCAAGGCAGGCCUAUGCUCGAAUACAUUAGCAUGGAAUAAUAGAAUAGGACGUGUGGUUCUAUUUUGUUGGUUUCUAGGACCGCCGUAAUGAUUAAUAGGGACAGUCGGGGGCAUCAGUAUUCAAUUGUCAGAGGUGAAAUUCUUGGAUUUAUUGAAGACUAACUACUGCGAAAGCAUUUGCCAAGGAUGUUUUCAUUAAUCAGGAACGAAAGUUAGGGGAUCGAAGACGAUCAGAUACCGUCGUAGUCUUAACCAUAAACUAUGCCGACUAGGGAUCGGACGAUGUUAUUUUUUGACUCGUUCGGCACCUUACGAGAAAUCAAAGUGC
This 1014-nucleotide ribosomal RNA is filed under the name Calcarisporium cordycipiticola. RNAcentral describes it as "SSU rRNA". It matches the Rfam family "Eukaryotic small subunit ribosomal RNA", at positions 81 to 1106 of the family's 1831-position model. The record is from RNAcentral. Lineage: Eukaryota; Fungi; Ascomycota; Sordariomycetes; Hypocreales; Calcarisporiaceae.